This 367-nucleotide long non-coding RNA is filed under the name Medicago truncatula (barrel medic). RNAcentral's name for it is "long non-coding RNA (MTRU_LNC007179)". The record is from RNAcentral. Lineage: Eukaryota; Viridiplantae; Streptophyta; Magnoliopsida; Fabales; Fabaceae.
UUGAGUUUAUUUCAUACACGUUAUCAGUAUGAAGCUCUAUCAAUCAGAUGAUGCUUGGGUAGUGGUGUUGAACCUUUGAUUUAAAGUGAAAGUCAAAUAAAUUGCAGACAUUAUACCAUACAUAUGCUUCAUCCAGGUUAACUAUUCCACCUUACUUCUUGGUUAUAUAUUUGGGUGAAAUUUAUACCUGUUAUGAAUUUGUGCAAAUGAUAUCUUGAUAUUUGAUUUGAUCGGUAUUAUACUAUACCUCUUGUGAAGUUGUUCUUAAUAUAUUAUCAUUUAAUUGGUAGAUGAGAAAUAAAAAUCCCUUAGUGGAUAAUGGAUGAAGAAAGUUAUGAUUUAUGAAUACCAAUUGAAUAAGAUAUGC